ACGGCCUAAAGCGUGGUUAAACAAUAUUAAAAUAUAUAGAAAUAAAAAUUAACUCAACUGUCGCACGUAUUUGUUAAACGUAAAACCAAAAACGAAAGAUAUUCUAAUAAACAAAUUACUUGAACCCACGAAAGCUAAGAAACAAACUAGGAUUAGAUACCCUAUUAUGCUUAGCCUUAAACUUUGGAACACCCGCCUGAGUACUACGAGCCACAGCUUAAAACUCAAAGGACUUGGCGGUGCUCUACACCCCCCUAGAGGAGCCUGUUCUAUAAUUGAUAAUCCCCGCUAAACCUCACCACUUAUUGCCAACCCCGCCUAUAUACCGCCGUCGUCAGCUCACCAUUUAAAUGAAUAAUAGUAAGCAUAAUGAUAAACAUAAAAACGUCAGGUCAAGGUGUAGCGAAUUAAGUGGAAAGAAAUGGGCUACAUUUUCUAUACAGAAAAUACGAAUAAUCUUAUGAAAAAAUAUUUAAAGGUGGAUUUAGCAGUAAAAAGAAAACAGAGUGUUCUUUUUAAAUAGGCCCUAGAGCGCGCACACACCGCCCGUCACCCUCCUCAAAAUAUUUAUAAAAAUAUAUAAUUCUAAAAACAUAAAAGAAGAGGUAAGUCGUAACAUGGUAAGUUUACCGGAAGGUGUACUUGGAAUAU
RNAcentral lists this ribosomal RNA (651 nucleotides) under Paradactylodon persicus (Persian mountain salamander). Its description in RNAcentral is "Iranodon persicus (Persian mountain salamander) partial 12S ribosomal RNA". It matches the Rfam family "Bacterial small subunit ribosomal RNA", at positions 555 to 1533 of the family's 1533-position model. Lineage: Eukaryota; Metazoa; Chordata; Amphibia; Caudata; Hynobiidae. The record is from RNAcentral.